Molecule: long non-coding RNA, 697 nt
Organism: Uloborus diversus
Lineage: Eukaryota; Metazoa; Arthropoda; Arachnida; Araneae; Uloboridae
Exons: 5
Source: RefSeq, a predicted model, not a curated record
GCAAAACCUGACGUGUGGAGGAGGAAACAAAAAGCAAGAGAUGAACGUGCUCUGGGCUCAGUUUCUGGAAGUUCUAAUUCUCAAUUUAUGCCUAUCUAGGACAUUCUUAAAUCUUUUACUCAGUGAAAGUACUCUUUCUUUCGCAUUCGGAAUACUAAAGAAAACGGAGAUUCUGAGUUAGGUGAGGACAUUCUUAAAUCUUUUACUCAGUGCAAGUGCUCUUUCGUUCGCAUUCGGAAUACUAAAGAAAACGGAGAUUCUGCGUUAGGUGAGAGAGAAUAUACAUUGAAACAAUGAACAAAAACUCGAGACAAAGAGGAAAUUCAUUGACUUUCUCAGCCCUUCAAAUUUUCUUUGCAGUCAUUUUGAUUUUCGUAUGUACAAUUCUACCUACUUGCACAGCAAAGCCUGGUUUAUGUUCUGAUGUGUGCAACAAAAUAUGCACGGGUGACUUUUGCGGCUCUAUAUGUGCCUUUUACUGCUAAUAAAAGGCUGCUGUAAUCAAAGCUAACAUUCUGCCAAGAAAAAGAAUGGAAUUUUUUUAUGAAAGCAUUUGGAAUUGUAUUCUCAGCCAAGCAUUUUUAACAUUAUACUUCUGAUAAGCAUUUUUACCAUGUAUUUCUUUCCGCAUCAACCAUGAAAAAUAUAACAUAAGCAUUUUAAUGUCGUCAUUUGUCACAUCAUCUUCAAUAAAAAG